UCAGAGCAAGUUGUUGAUGGAUAAUCCUA
This 29-nucleotide small RNA is filed under the name Bombyx mori (domestic silkworm). RNAcentral's name for it is "ovarian small RNA-6963". The record is from RNAcentral. Lineage: Eukaryota; Metazoa; Arthropoda; Insecta; Lepidoptera; Bombycidae.